CUUCUGCCUGCAGUUGAUGCCUGGAGACAGCUGAAAAGAAAUUACAGAAAUUGAUGUUUAAGAAGUACAUUUUGCAUCAUGUUUUAGCAAUAUAGGUGCUUCAUCACCACUUCAGACAGACAAAAUUAUCUUCAGACAAUCUACUUCUUAUACUUCUCCAGUUUUCUCUCUGAUCUGG
Herpailurus yagouaroundi (jaguarundi) is the source of this 178-nucleotide long non-coding RNA. RefSeq lists it as uncharacterized. Lineage: Eukaryota; Metazoa; Chordata; Mammalia; Carnivora; Felidae. The record is from RefSeq and is a predicted model, not a curated record. The transcript has 3 exons.